Molecule: non-coding RNA, 40 nt
Filed under: Schistosoma curassoni
Lineage: Eukaryota; Metazoa; Platyhelminthes; Trematoda; Strigeidida; Schistosomatidae
Source: RNAcentral
AUCCACGAGCCCCAAACAGGACGAAACGCGCGUCUUGGAU